UCUCUGGCUGGUGCACUCUUC
This 21-nucleotide non-coding RNA is filed under the name Caenorhabditis elegans. Lineage: Eukaryota; Metazoa; Nematoda; Chromadorea; Rhabditida; Rhabditidae. The record is from RNAcentral.